AACAUGUAUCUAUGGAAUACAAAUAUUCAAACAAUAAUUGAGUUCAAGAGCAUAAGCAUCAAAGGAAAUAAUCAUUCAUCCAAGUCAAUAAAAGAAGCCAACUAUUACUAACAAAUAUGGAUGACUAGAAUUAGGCAAUUAGAAAAGAGAGGUCAAUAGCUUAAACAUGGCAUAAUCACACAUGAGAGACCUGUAAUCAUCACCAAGGUAACAUAUCAAACCAUACUCAAAGAUGGGAGCAAAAGAUGGACAUGGUGAAACCUAAACAUGCCUCCAAAUGGGACAAAACAUCAUGUUAAACAAAAA
RNAcentral lists this long non-coding RNA (306 nucleotides) under Lathyrus oleraceus (garden pea). Its description in RNAcentral is "Pisum sativum (pea) long non-coding RNA (PSAT_LNC015031)". Lineage: Eukaryota; Viridiplantae; Streptophyta; Magnoliopsida; Fabales; Fabaceae. The record is from RNAcentral.